GGUCGUUUCUCUUCGGGCCCAACACGAGCCCAAAAGCUUCCCAUCUUCUCCCAGAAGAUUAGCGGCGGGGGAGGCGGCGGCGACCGGCGGCGACAGGGUGGCCGGAUUUGCGGUCCCGUCUCCCUCUCCUGGGCUUCCGCCACCACCCGCGGGCGCUUCUCCUCCACCGGGAAGCCUGCCGUCGCGCGACGGCGACUCCCUUCGACUGUUCGACGCAAUGCCAGGGCAGGCCUGGUGGAGCGGAGGCGGAGCCGCUUCUUCGCUGCUUGAGGCGAGGCGUUCAGGGUGUUCGGCGAAAUGCUCGAGAGUCGCUUGUCCAGUCCUGGUCGGUGGCGACUUCGGCCGUCGAAGAUCUCGUGGGCGGCGACUGUGCUUCCGCUUCGUGAGCUUCUGAAGGACGCAUACCUUUUGAUACUACAUGCAAAGCAUCAUUCCGAGAGGUGCAUAUAAUUUAGAGCAAUCAUCGGCAUCGUGGUCAUGGUGUGUACAUGCUCUGGAAAACAACAUAGCACGACUGGUGGGUGAUUGGUUGUUUUCCAUUCUCCCGGCUCCACUGGUGUAUCUUUGUAGACCAUGGAUUAUGACUCUUGUGUCUAUCUCUGAAUUUUGGAAGUGCUUGAAGACUUGAAGUAAGCUGCGUAGCGUGUGAGGGCUGCAGGCUGCCAGUGGGAGCUGGCUUAUCAUUUGGGACACCACAGGGGAGACUGGUUCUUGUGUAGACAUGGUCUAUGGACUAUGGAACGGACUGAAGCCACACAGAUCUUCAGGUGCAGCACAAACUGGAGAAAUCCUUCGGCCAGAACAGAAACAGCAUAGGGAACACAAGAUGAUUACAGAAGAUCGGCUGCACAAAGACCAAUUCUAGAAACAGCAUAGAGGCCAUUUCCAGUUCAGACGACUGUAGUGCUGUACUGCUGUGCUGCACGUCGUACACGUCGAAGUCUGAAGAGGAUUGCUGCACUGCAGAUCAAUCAAUGAUUUUCCAAUUUUCGUCAAAACAAGAAACCAAUGAUUUUCCAGGCUCAUGGACACGGUCUACCCAGGCACCCAUCCGUAGACGUGCAAAAUUAUGAAAAACUGAUGGCGAUCUGGCGAUGAAUGAAUGAAUGAUUCGGACCGCCGCUACGUUGUUGCUGCCGACGCGUUCGUUGGCCGUGUGUCCGUGUCUCGGUCUGCAGUCUUCAGUGUCUCAGUCCGAUCGGAAUGAAAUGGAAUGGAGGAGAUGGCGGUGUGAACUGUCCUUGGUAGUGGAGUUGUGGAUUGGCUCGUAUACGACAAAUGUAUUUGGAUAUUUGGCACUUGUUAUCGCUGGAAAAAAUAUAGUCAAGUCGUGUACGAGGAAAACUGCAUGCUACUACCAUACAUACGAAGGAUAUCAAGUUCUUGACAUUUUGAUAUGGAGCAUAGCAAAACUGUUCUAGUUCUCGUUUGAAAUGCGAGAAUGUGUUCACAAAAGGCUGAUUCAUUUUAUUUAAAAUUCACGCAAUAUUCCUCUGUUCGAAGGAAAGGUCUUGUUGUGUUUUUCUUUUUCUUUUUUUUUCUUUUCUAGUGCAGGCUGAUCUGCUGUGCUGAGUGCAGACCGUGGCAGAAGUGAUUUACUUUUCCUUGUAUAAGGGGGUGUUUAAAUCCGGGGUGUAAAGUUUUAGCGUGUCACAUCGAAUAUUAUAUAAGGUAUCGCAUGUGGCAGAGUUUACAUUACCGGUUGACCACUAAAUUUCGAACCCCAUCGGUAUCACCGUUUUCGAUAAAUUUUGAUCGGUUUUUGAU
This 1767-nucleotide non-coding RNA is filed under the name Oryza sativa Indica Group (long-grained rice). The record is from RNAcentral. Lineage: Eukaryota; Viridiplantae; Streptophyta; Magnoliopsida; Poales; Poaceae.